Molecule: ribosomal RNA, 291 nt
Filed under: Triticum aestivum (bread wheat)
Lineage: Eukaryota; Viridiplantae; Streptophyta; Magnoliopsida; Poales; Poaceae
Description: partial small subunit ribosomal RNA
Source: RNAcentral
AUGUCUACAUCAGAGGGUUCGGAGAGUGCUGAUUCCAUGGAUGAGGAUACAAGUCAAGUACCACAUGCUAGAAGGUCCAAGGUAUGGGAGCAUUAUGAAGUAGAUUUGGUUCACGUAGAUGGUGAUCUCAAGGCUGUGUGCAAAUACUAUGGAGUGCAACUUCACACCAAGUUUGGGACAAGCAGUUUGAGGACCCAUAUUGCAGAGGCAUACCGAUCAAUUCAGGAUGCUUGCAGGAAGAGGUUUUUGUUGACCAUGAAAAAAAACAUCCGAAGGUCUGUUUGUGUUUGA